This 407-nucleotide ribosomal RNA is filed under the name Pseudomonas sp. LBBMA LU6B. RNAcentral's name for it is "bacterial SSU rRNA". It matches the Rfam family "Bacterial small subunit ribosomal RNA", at positions 76 to 482 of the family's 1533-position model. Lineage: Bacteria; Pseudomonadati; Pseudomonadota; Gammaproteobacteria; Pseudomonadales; Pseudomonadaceae. The record is from RNAcentral.
GAAUUAAGCCGGCCGGGACCGGGGUUGGAAGUAAUGGCCCUAGGGAAUCUGCCUGGUAUUGGGGGAUAACGUUUCCGAAAAGGAACGCUAAUACCGCGUACGUCCUACGGGAGAAAGCAGGGGACCUUCGGGCCUUGCGCUAUCAGAUGAGCCUAGGUCGGAUUAGCUAGUUGGUGAGGUAAUGGCUCACCAAGGCGACGAUCCGUAACUGGUCUGAGAGGAUGAUCAGUCACACUGGAACUGAGACACGGUCCAGACUCCUACGGGAGGCAGCAGUGGGGAAUAUUGGACAAUGGGCGAAAGCCUGAUCCAGCCAUGCCGCGUGUGUGAAGAAGGUCUUCGGAUUGUAAAGCACUUUAAGUUGGGAGGAAGGGCAGUAAGUUAAUACUGCUGUUUGACGUACCGAC